GGCAGAGAUUAGGCAAAGAGAUGUGGCUUUCCUGUCCUAUCAACUGAGCAUAAGUUUUAUUUCUCUGGAGAAAAUUCAGCCUUGCGGAGAUAUGUAAUUAGAAGAUGAAGGAUAAUGCAGACC
Molecule: long non-coding RNA, 123 nt
Filed under: Mustela putorius furo (domestic ferret)
Lineage: Eukaryota; Metazoa; Chordata; Mammalia; Carnivora; Mustelidae
Description: lncRNA (ENSMPUG00000024434.1)
Source: RNAcentral